AUGUGUGUUUUAUGUUUUUUUUUGCGGAAAACGCAUCUUGCGGUUUUGGCAGGAAAGUGUGUUUUUCAGUUUUUGCGAAAAAAUGCAUUUUUGGUUAUAGCGGAAAAUGGUAUAUGCAAUAAAAUAUAAUUUACGGUUUGAAAAUAAUAUUUUAAUUUUAAAAGGUUAUUUUUGUCAUUUAUCAUUUUGGACUGAACUAGAUGCAUCUGCAUCCAGAUGCACCAUCAAGACUCACCUUCAUUUGGGUGAGAAUUUGAGAUGAGUUUUUAAAAAUUCAGAUGGGUGAUCCAUCUGGAUGUAAUAUUAUAAUGCACAAAACGAACAUCAAUUUGUAUAUUCAUCCAGAUGGAUCACCUGGGUGAGCAAACGAACAGGGCCUAAGGAGGAGACCUAUGAUAUAUAUAUCUUCUUCCUCCUGGUGAGAUCCAGAGUCGUGCCAAUCAUAUUAAAGGAUGCGGAAUAAAGAUGGAAAGUACAGCCUCAUGUUUGAGGUUUGGCCCUUUCAGAGUUUUCUUUCCAUGUGGUGAAUACUUAUGGUUAUGGUUACACAGAGGUAUGUCAACGCAAAGAGACAAGAAUCUGUCCAGGCUCAGCUCCAACUUCGUAUUUUAUUUCUGGUCUGGACAAUGGCUGUUUGACAAAUUCUAUAAUGCCUCGUUCAUCCUCAUCCUUCCAAUUAGCCAAGGAUUUGCCACUAGAUAUCGACUCUCUCUCACAUGGACAGCGUCAAGGUGAUGCAUCAAUUGGAUAAUCUGUGCAGUCUGAUGAGAGAAAGCUCAUCAGCAGAAAGGUCACGCCUAACGAGAAUGGGAAGCAGUGAUAGCAGUAGCAGAGACUGAUCAAUCAAAAGCUUCUUAUUGUACAAUGCGAAAUCUAGUAGACUGCCUCUCGUGUUAACGUUGGCUCUUUGCAGCGUAGGGGUUGUAGUGUUUAGGAGCUGCUACGUUAACAAGCGGCAAUAACAUCUAUAAGCACUUUGUUUCUAGUCUCUUUUUUUGGGUAUUUUUUUUCUCUCUGGAGGCGUUUUGUGAGCUUCCAUGGUUUAGUACUUAGACUAUGACACCAAUUCUAGAUUAAUUUCAUUCAAUAAAGCUCAGUGUCUUAGCUUAGCAUUCAUUUUGCUCUUCUUUUAGUUCUUACAUAAUCAAAGACGAGACCUGGAUGUGAGAACAAUGCUUCUUUAGAGGCAAGUCUUGUGAAAGACUUUUUGACGAGGUAAUAAUGGUCUUUGAUGGCUUUUUAAUU
Molecule: long non-coding RNA, 1245 nt
Organism: Brassica napus (rape)
Lineage: Eukaryota; Viridiplantae; Streptophyta; Magnoliopsida; Brassicales; Brassicaceae
Exons: 2
Source: RefSeq, a predicted model, not a curated record